Molecule: non-coding RNA, 138 nt
Filed under: Thermanaeromonas toyohensis
Lineage: Bacteria; Bacillati; Bacillota; Clostridia; Neomoorellales; Neomoorellaceae
Also listed under: 1 other name
Description: MoCo sequence
Rfam family: Molybdenum/Tungsten riboswitch aptamer (Moco RNA motif)
Source: RNAcentral
AAUUUAGUUUACCUCCGAGCCUUCCUGGCCUAAGGGAAGCCUCCUAUGGCAGGUUGGCCCGGGCUUUUUAAGCCCGCGGGGUAUAGCAGGGAAACCGCUAUGCCUUCCGUUUCGAAAAGGAGGAUUAAAGGGGUGAAA